AGUGAACGCUGGCGGUAGACCUAACACAUGCAAGUCGAACGGCAGCACAGUAAGAGCUUGCUCUUACGGGUGGCGAGUGGCGGACGGGUGAGGAAUACAUCGGAAUCUACUUUUUCGUGGGGGAUAACGUAGGGAAACUUACGCUAAUACCGCAUACGACCUACGGGUGAAAGCAGGGGAUCUUCGGACCUUGCGCGAUUGAAUGAGCCGAUGUCGGAUUAGCUAGUUGGCGGGGUAAAGGCCCACCAAGGCGACGAUCCGUAGCUGGUCUGAGAGGAUGAUCAGCCACACUGGAACUGAGACACGGUCCAGACUCCUACGGGAGGCAGCAGUGGGGAAUAUUGGACAAUGGGCGCAAGCCUGAUCUAGCCAUACCGCGUGGGUGAAGAAGGCCUUCGGGUUGUAAAGCCCUUUUGUUGGGAAAGAAAAGCAGCAGGUUAAUACCCCGCUGUUCUGACGGUACCCAAAGAAUAAGCACCGGCUAACUUCGUG
This 492-nucleotide ribosomal RNA is filed under the name uncultured bacterium. RNAcentral describes it as "partial 16S ribosomal RNA". It matches the Rfam family "Bacterial small subunit ribosomal RNA", at positions 29 to 507 of the family's 1533-position model. The record is from RNAcentral.